AGUGAACGCUGGCGGUAGGCCUAACACAUGCAAGUCGAACGGCAGCACAGUAAGAGCUUGCUCUUACGGGUGGCGAGUGGCGGACGGGUGAGGAAUACAUCGGAAUCUACUUUUUCGUGGGGGAUAACGUAGGGAAACUUACGCUAAUACCGCAUACGACCUACGGGUGAAAGCAGGGGAUCUUCGGACCUUGCGCGAUUGAAUGAGCCGAUGUCGGAUUAGCUAGUUGGCAGGGUAAAGGCCCACCAAGGCGACGAUCCGUAGCUGGUCUGAGAGGAUGAUCAGCCGCACUGGAACUGAGACACGGUCCAGACUCCUACGGGAGGCAGCAGUGGGGAAUAUUGGACAAUGGGCGCAAGCCUGAUCCAGCCAUACCGCGUGGGUGAAGAAGGCCUUCGGGUUGUAAAGCCCUUUUGUUGGGAAAGAAAAGCAGCAGGUUAAUACCCCGCUGUUCUGACGGUACCCAAAGAAUAAGCACCGGCUAACUUCGUG
This 492-nucleotide ribosomal RNA is filed under the name uncultured bacterium. RNAcentral's name for it is "partial 16S ribosomal RNA". It matches the Rfam family "Bacterial small subunit ribosomal RNA", at positions 29 to 507 of the family's 1533-position model. The record is from RNAcentral.